GGCAACGUGGCCGAGUGGUGAUGGCGACUGCCUCGAAAACAUAUAUCGCAAGCAGUUUCCUUCGGGAGCGUAGGUUCGAAUCCUGCCGUUGUCG
This 94-nucleotide transfer RNA is filed under the name Fusarium equiseti. Its description in RNAcentral is "tRNA-Ser". It matches the Rfam family "tRNA". Rfam says of the family: Transfer RNA (tRNA) molecules are approximately 80 nucleotides in length. Their secondary structure includes four short double-helical elements and three loops (D, anti-codon, and T loops). Lineage: Eukaryota; Fungi; Ascomycota; Sordariomycetes; Hypocreales; Nectriaceae. The record is from RNAcentral.